GUGCCAGCCGCCGCGGUAAUACGUAGGGGGCAAGCGUUGUCCGGAUUUACUGGGUGUAAAGGGUGCUCAGGCGGAUUUGUAAGUCAGAGGUGAAAUCUCACAGCUUAACUGUGAAACUGCCUUUGAUACUGCAAGCCUAGAGUAUGGAAGAGAGUGAUGGAAUAUCUGGUGUAGCAGUGAAAUGCGUAGAUAUCAGAUAGAACACCAAUGGCGAAGGCAGUCACUUGGUCCAUAACUGACGCUAAAGCACGAAAGCGUGGGUAGCAAACAGGAUUAGAUACCCUGGUAGUCCACGCCCUAAACGAUGAAUACUAGAUGUUGGCUUCGCAUGAAGUCAGUAUCUGAGCUAACGCAUUAAGUAUUCCACCUGGGAAGUACGAUCGCAAGGUUGAAACUUAAAGGAAUUGGCGG
Molecule: ribosomal RNA, 411 nt
Filed under: uncultured bacterium
Lineage: Bacteria
Description: bacterial SSU rRNA
Rfam family: Bacterial small subunit ribosomal RNA
Source: RNAcentral